ACUUAACUAACAAUCACAAAAUCAACCAUUUCAGUUAUUCUCAUAAACAUAUAAUUUCAUCUCACGUAAUGCAAAUAAUCUCAAACUCAACCAAGUCAAAUAAUUCAAUUCCACAUUAUUUCUAUCAAAUUAGGAUCAGAUGACUCAUCCUUACAUUUCCUCACAUUUUUAAAUUUCAGUAACCACUUGACAAGACUAUCCGCCCGGCUCAGUCUUGCCAUCUCACAUACUCGGGUAGCUAUCCUCCCGGCUCAGCUUUUCCGAUCACACAAUAUCCAUACAAAAGUCAUCAAUCCUUAAUCACAAUCAUUUCACUUCACAACACAUCACAAUCAAUUCACUUCACAACACAUCACAAUCAAUUCACUUUCAAGCCAAAAACAUAACUAAUAUCAACUCAGUCAACCAAAAAAUUAUCAAGUAAUCAAACAGCAGUCCCUACUCAAUAUACACAAAGUUUAGUCUAUUAAAUACUUACCAGAAGUUAUAGGAUAACAAAGUAAUCCUAUUCUUUUUCUCUUACCACUUCCUUGCCUUUGGAUGAACCUAUUCACA
Molecule: long non-coding RNA, 555 nt
Filed under: Ricinus communis (castor bean)
Lineage: Eukaryota; Viridiplantae; Streptophyta; Magnoliopsida; Malpighiales; Euphorbiaceae
Description: long non-coding RNA (RCOM_LNC000587)
Source: RNAcentral